AAAGAAUUUAAAGAGUGCACUUCAUUGUGGCUCGACAUUUUCUACCAUUCACCCUAGUGCACUGUAAUACCCUUUUUUAUUAGACUCUACAAAGUUAUUGAAUGUAACACUUUUUUUAUAAAGAAAUAAAACUUUUAACAACGGAUCUCUUGGCUCUCGCAACGAUGAAGAACGCAGCGAAAUGCGAUAAGUAAUGUGAAUUGCAGAAUUCAGUGAAUCAUCGAAUCUUUGAACGCACCUUGCGCCCUUUGGUAUUCCGAAGGGCACACCUGUUUGAGUGUCAUUAAUCUCUCAACCCUAACAUUUUUUUAUUAGAAUGGUAGUGGCUGGAUGUUGAGCGUUGCUGGACCUUUUUUGGUUCAGCUCGCUUUAAAAUUAUGAGCAGGCUCCUACCAUUUCGGACUGACUCAACGUGAUAAGAAAUUUCGUUGAGGACGCUUUACAGCGGCCGAAUUGUAGGGAAAUGCCGCUGCUAGUUGACCCUUAUAUUUUAGACCUCAAAUCAGGUGGGACUACCCGCUGAACUUAA
RNAcentral lists this ribosomal RNA (529 nucleotides) under uncultured fungus. RNAcentral's name for it is "eukaryotic LSU rRNA". The stretch from base 130 to 283 matches the Rfam family "5.8S ribosomal RNA". The record is from RNAcentral. Lineage: Eukaryota; Fungi.